ACAAAUGCAUGACACGCGGCUGCGGAAGGCAGUGCGCUUAGGAAGCCCGCCGCGGCGGCAUGCCGAAUUGAAGGCGUUGAUUUAGGAGCAUAUAGACAGCAGCCGCGGGAGGCGGUGUGCUUGUAGAAAAGCCGCCGCGGCGGUCCGCUAAGUGCGGCACAAAUGCAUGACACGCGGCUGCGGAAGGCAGUGCGCUUAGGAAGCCCGCCGCGGUGGCAUGCUGAAUUGAAGGCGUUGAUUUAGGAGCAUAUAGACAGCGGCCGCGGGAGGCGGUGUGCUUGUAGAAAAGCCGCUGCGGCGGUCCGCUAAGUGCGGCACAAAUGCAUGACACGCGGCUGCAGAAGGCAGUGCGCUUAGGAAGCCCGCCGCGGCGGCACGCCGAAUUGAAGGUGUUGAUUUAGGAGCAUAUAGACAGCGGCCGCGGGAGGCGGUGCGCUUGUAGAAAAGCCGCUGCGGCGGUCCGCUAAGUGCGGCACAAAUGCAUGACACGCGGCUGCGGAAGGCAGUGCGCUUAGGAAGCCCGCCGCGGCGGCACGCCGAAUUGAAGGUGUUGAUUUAGGAGCAUAUAGACAGCGGCCGCGGGAGGCGGUGCGCUUGUAGAAAAGCCGCUGCGGCGGUCCGCUAAGUGCGGCACAAAUGCUAUGACACGCGGCUGCGGAAGGCAGUGCGCUUAGGAAGCCCGCCGCGGUGGCAUGCUGAAUUGAAGGCGUUGAUUUAGGAGCAUAUAGACAGCGGCCGCGGGAGGCGGUGUGCUUGUAGAAAAGCCGCUGCGGCGGUCCGCUAAGUGCGGCACAAAUGCAUGACACGCGGCUGCGGAAGGCAGUGCGCUUAGGAAGCCCGCCGCGGCGGCACGCCGAAUUGAAGGUGUUGAUUUAGGAGCAUAUAGACAGCGGCCGCGGGAGGCGGUGUGCUUGUAGAAAAGCCGCUGCGGCGGUCCGCUAAGUGCGGCACAAAUGCAUGACACGCGGCUGCAGAAGGCAGUGCGCUUAGGAAGCCCGCCGCGGCGGCACGCCGAAUUGAAGGUGUUGAUUUAGGAGCAUAUAGACAGCGGCCGCGGGAGGCGGUGCGCUUGUAGAAAAGCCGCUGCGGCGGUCCGCUAAGUGCGGCAUGAA
Molecule: long non-coding RNA, 1112 nt
Filed under: Volvox carteri
Lineage: Eukaryota; Viridiplantae; Chlorophyta; Chlorophyceae; Chlamydomonadales; Volvocaceae
Description: long non-coding RNA (VCAR_LNC003494)
Source: RNAcentral